GGUUAAGCGACUAAGCGUACACGGUGGAUGCCCUGGCAGUCAGAGGCGAUGAAGGGCGUGCUAAUCUGCGAUAAGCGCCGGUAAGGUGAU
RNAcentral lists this ribosomal RNA (90 nucleotides) under Salmonella enterica subsp. enterica serovar Thompson. RNAcentral describes it as "partial 23S ribosomal RNA". It matches the Rfam family "Bacterial large subunit ribosomal RNA", at positions 1 to 90 of the family's 2925-position model. The record is from RNAcentral. Lineage: Bacteria; Pseudomonadati; Pseudomonadota; Gammaproteobacteria; Enterobacterales; Enterobacteriaceae. RNAcentral also lists the same sequence under 8 other names.